GCUUUCGAGCAUCCACAUCAGCA
This 23-nucleotide non-coding RNA is filed under the name Mus musculus (house mouse). Lineage: Eukaryota; Metazoa; Chordata; Mammalia; Rodentia; Muridae. The record is from RNAcentral.